UUUUAGUUUUUUUUCUUUUGGUUUUUGAAUAUUUGAGAAUUUGUAGAGGUGGAAUUAGUUAAAACGGAGUUGUGUGGGAGCCACGAGCUCAAGGGGGCAUGCCCUGUGAGCUCGUGUCUCUCCCGUACAUCUUUUAGCCUCCUCCUGAACCUUCUAGGGUCCCUUCUGGUCCAGAAAAAUGACCGUAAAGUUUGAUUGUGUUUGGAUGUAGUUUGGUAGUGAUAUUCUGAAAAGUAAAAAAAGAAAAAAUAGGAACUGGG
Molecule: long non-coding RNA, 260 nt
Filed under: Hordeum vulgare
Lineage: Eukaryota; Viridiplantae; Streptophyta; Magnoliopsida; Poales; Poaceae
Description: long non-coding RNA (HVUL_LNC008767)
Source: RNAcentral